Vicia faba (fava bean) is the source of this 204-nucleotide non-coding RNA. NCBI's taxonomy places the organism in Eukaryota, Viridiplantae, Streptophyta, Magnoliopsida, Fabales, Fabaceae. The record is from the annotation of a GenBank genome assembly.
AUGCAAGGAGGAAAUUGGUUUUUAAUUUUCUAUAACUUAGGGGAAAAAACCUCAAUUGUGAAAGGAGAUUCAUUUUCCAUUCAAAAGCUUAUCCAACAUAUAAAUUUCACAUCUCUAUAUACACAAAAAAUAAUAAUAUCGAUUGGUCCGAAUGAACACAUAGAAUAUAUUUUUUUACUUACCCUUAGUAUGGGAAUGGAUUAG